Molecule: ribosomal RNA, 406 nt
Filed under: uncultured bacterium
Lineage: Bacteria
Description: partial 16S ribosomal RNA
Rfam family: Bacterial small subunit ribosomal RNA
Source: RNAcentral
AUUGAACGCUGGCGGCAGGCCUAACACAUGCAAGUCGAGCGAGCGGCGGACGGGUGAGUAAUGUCUGGAACACUGCCUGAUGGAGGGGGAUAAAUCCUGGAAACGGUAGCUACUACCGCAUACCAUCAGAUUUGCCCAGAUGGGGGUAGCUAGUAGGUGGGGUAACGGCUCACCUAGGCGACGAUCCCUAGCUGGUCUGCGAGGAUGAACAGCAACACUGGAACGGAGACAAGGUCCAGACGCCUACGGGAGGCAGCAGUGGGGAAUAUUGCACAAUGGGCGCAAGCCGGAGACAGCCAUGCCGCGUGUGUGAAGAAGGCCUUCGGGUUGUAAAGCACUUUCAGCGGGGAGGCGUUACCCGCAGAAGAAGCACCGGCUAACUCCGUGCCAGCCGCCGCGGUAAUUC